RNAcentral lists this long non-coding RNA (1718 nucleotides) under Zostera marina. RNAcentral's name for it is "long non-coding RNA (ZMAR_LNC003578)". The record is from RNAcentral. Lineage: Eukaryota; Viridiplantae; Streptophyta; Magnoliopsida; Alismatales; Zosteraceae.
CCGGUCGAAGUUAAAACCGCUUACUGUUUGGAGAAACAACCAAUAGCUACACAAGGACAAAGGUAACUAACCUAAUAGACCUAACAUAAUAUUGUAUCAUAGUUUGUCCUCUCCUAACUAUCAAUGGAACUAGAAAAAGAGUUUAAUCCUAAUUAUUAGAUAAAUAUUACGUUAAGUAAUUUGAUGAUAUUUUCUUGGUUACUGAGAAAAUGAAUAAAAAAAUUUACUAUAAGAAGCCAUACACCUAUAACCAUAAGUAGGGUGUCAACUAAAGCUCGACUCGACGGGCUCGCGAGUCCAACGAGCCGAGCUCGAGCCUAAAACUCAAGCUCGAUAAGCUUAUCGAGCCGAGCUUGAUCUUGGACUUUUCAAGCUCGGCUCGGCUCGGCUCGGCUCGAUAAGCUCGUUAAGGGCUUCUUAAUAAUUAAAUAAAAUAUAGAUAUUAAUUGAUAAAGACUAUUGAAUAAAUUACAAGAAAACUUAAAUAAAAAUCUUAAAAAAAAAACUAGAUAUAGAUAUAGAUAUUUUUCUUAAAAUAUUUAGAUUUUAAUUUUCAAUUUGCAAAAUUGCAAGUUAAAUUUCAAGUUCGAGCCCGAGCCUGGACAAUUCCUUAACGAGUCGAGCCCGAGCCCGGCUCUAUAAGCAAAAGCUUGGCUCGGUUCGGCUCGUUUGACACCUAUAAGAGAUGUAAAUGGAUAACUUAGGUAAUCAGUAAUCUAUAAGCCCUACCCAUAAGGAACUUAGGUAAUCUAUUACAUGCCUAGAAUAAAAAUGACUCUUUUGAAAAGAAACAAAAACUCAUAAAUGAAUGACUGAGCAUGGACACCCAGAUAAAAAAUUCAACUGCCAAGAUUGGCAUGAAUGAAUGAUAUAACUCGUAUUUGUUGAUACAGUACUUGAAUGUUGAAUCACACAUACUUUGAAGAAUAUAGCAGGCGAGCCUAUUAGAAAUACCUAUGGUGAUAAAACCAUAUACUCAUACUGUAUUACAGUUAUAUUACCUAUAUACUCAUAUAUUGUGUUGCUACUGACACAUCACAUUCAGUGGCGGAUUUAGGAAUUUUGUGAUGAAGGGGCACCUUUAUACAAUACUAAAACUAAAAGACUUCAUUCAUAAGAAUAUUCAUCAAAUAUUGAAUAGGAUUAGAAAUGAAAUUCAUUCUUCAAAUAUAAUUUACUAUAUUUAAUAGAAUUAGAAAUAAGAUUAAUAAGCUUCUAGUCAGUGUUAUUUUUUAUGGAGCAAGGAAUAGCCGAUUUUAUGGUGACAUAUUGACAUAGUUUUUGUGUGAUUAGAGAUAUGAUGAUUUAUAUACUAAGUGGAUUCUUAUCUCAUAGCAUUUACCAUAUUUUUUUCCAUAGAUUUAAAGAAAAAGAAGAAAUUGGUGAAUGAGGGAAGUAGGAAGAAAUAAAGAAAUCAAACCUGAAGAUCUGAAAUGAAAUCCGACGAUGGAAGAGGGCUCGACGGUGACGGGAUAACGGCGAGGAUCAGCUGGAUUUGAUGAAUGGAGAGAGAGGUUGGGUGUGCCGAUGCAAAAAUAUCAGGGUUUUAAUGAAAAGAGGAGGAAAUUAGGAACGAUACUACAGUUUUAAUUUUAUAGAAUAGUAUUUAUUUUAUUUGGGGUAUUUUAUGUACGGGCUAUUUGUUAAGUGCUCCCUAAUAUAUAAGAAAACUAUAUAUAAUGGGUUUUUUUUUCAAAAUUUAUAAAGGGACAAGUUCU